RNAcentral lists this ribosomal RNA (281 nucleotides) under Planomicrobium sp. Y74. RNAcentral's name for it is "partial 16S ribosomal RNA". It matches the Rfam family "Bacterial small subunit ribosomal RNA", at positions 62 to 333 of the family's 1533-position model. The record is from RNAcentral. Lineage: Bacteria; Bacillati; Bacillota; Bacilli; Caryophanales; Caryophanaceae.
UCGAGCGGAGAAUGUGGAGCUUGCUCCACAUUCUUAGCGGCGGACGGGUGAGUAACACGUGGGCAACCUGCCCUGCAGAUCGGGAUAACUCCGGGAAACCGGUGCUAAUACCGAAUAGUUUGGGGCCUCUCCUGAGGCCCCACGGAAAGACGGUUUCGGCUGUCACUGCAGGAUGGGCCCGCGGCGCAUUAGCUAGUUGGUGGGGUAAUGGCCCACCAAGGCGACGAUGCGUAGCCGACCUGAGAGGGUGAUCGGCCACACUGGGACUGAGACACGGCCCA